This 827-nucleotide ribosomal RNA is filed under the name uncultured bacterium. RNAcentral describes it as "bacterial SSU rRNA". It matches the Rfam family "Bacterial small subunit ribosomal RNA", at positions 75 to 917 of the family's 1533-position model. The record is from RNAcentral.
CUAGCUCGCUAGUAUGUCAGCUAAGUGGCGGACGGGUGAGUAAUGUAUAGUUAAUCUGCCCUUCAGAGGGGGAUAACUACUGGAAACGGUAGCUAAUACCCCAUAUACCUUCUGCCUUAAUGGUAGUUGGGAAAUGUCUUUUCGCUGAAGGAUGAGACUAUAUGGUAUCAGGUAGUUGGUGGGGUAAGAGCCCACCAAGCCAAUGACGCCUAGCUGGUCUGAGAGGAUGAUCAGCCACACUGGAACUGAGACACGGUCCAGACUCCUACGGGAGGCAGCAGUGGGGAAUAUUGCACAAUGGAGGAAACUCUGAUGCAGCAACGCCGCGUGGAGGAUGACACAUUUCGGUGCGUAAACUCCUUUUAUAUGGGAAGAUAAUGACGGUACCAUAUGAAUAAGCACCGGCUAACUCCGUGCCAGCAGCCGCGGUAAUACGGAGGGUGCAAGCGUUACUCGGAAUCACUGGGCGUAAAGCGCGCGCAGGCGGCUAUUUAAGUUGGAUGUGAAAGCCUACGGCUCAACCGUAGAACUGCAUCCAAAACUAUUUAGCUAGAGUGUGGGAGAGGAAGAUGGAAUUAGUUGUGUAGGGGUAAAAUCCGUAGAGAUAACUAGGAAUACCAAAAGCGAAGGCAAUCUUCUGGAACACUACUGACGCUGAGGCGCGAAAGCGUGGGGAGCAANCAGGAUUAGAUACCCCUGGUAGUCCACGCAGUAAACGAUGAAUGUUAGUCGUCNGAGGCCUAGUGUCUUCGGUGAUGCAGCUAACGCAUUAAACAUUCCGCCUGGGGAGUACGGUCGCAAGAUUAAAACUCAAAGGAAUAGACGGG